ACAAUACUAUCCCAUUUUGGAGACGUUACAUGGACAAUACUAUCCCAUUUUGGAAACGUUACAAGGACAAUACUAUCCCAUUUUGGAAACGUUACAUGGACAAUACUAUCCCAUUUGGAAACGUUACAUGUACAAUACUAUCCCAUUUUGGAAACGUUACAUGUCCGCCCCCUUGUGGAGGGAAAUUAAUAUCUUAGAUGGUAGCUGUAGAUGGGAUUCAAAUGCAUAAUGGUAAUAAUACAGUGUCUAGACUACCUCUUUAGUAUAAAGGCCCUUCAGAAUCCAAACACAGUAUUGCCACGCAGCAAAAUGUUGCGUAUAAUCUUUCACGUCAGCCUGAUAAAAUAUUGAACAAUUUGUGAACAGAGAUAUCUUGAAAUGUGAUAUUAGGCCUGUAUGGCAGUACUGUUACUGUAUGGCAGUACUGUAUUGGCUAGUGCUUUCUCCAAUAUGUUCUUCUAUUUUACUUUCAAUUGUAUGUCGAUGCCAUUUAUCUUUCAAUAUAUAUAUAUUUUAAUGCUUGUAAGACUAUUCUUUGACACAUUUUCUCUUCCUUUGAAAUUCUUAUAGGACAGAACAUGGACACAAUGCAAUUGGGAUCAAGAAGAAGGACUGGAGACCACAGCAGCGAUUCUGCUCUUGCCCUACCUCUUCAAUGAGGACCCGAGUGGCCUUUAUGUCCGUGACAAGAUUUCACCGCUCUUCACUCCUUUACUGCACAUUGGUGGAAAUCCAUUUCACCAUGAGAGUGAAAUCCCGCUGGCCUUUGAUGGGGAGAACAUCCACGCCCUCGAGGACGUCCCCAUGGGACUUGGGGCUCUGCUAGGGCUGUAUUUUUAUUUUCCCUUAAAUUUCCCAAAAAUGUCAGAAAAACACUUAUGUUGUUAAGUUACUGUGUUCUGGGGAUAAGAGAAGUUGGGGUGAAGUUACCAGGGCCGGUCAUAAAGAUGGCAAACUUCCUAACAUAACUAAGUGGAUAUGAUAUACACACUAAACCUGAAAAAUUUGUAUUCAGCAUCAAGUCUACAAUUUUGUUAGUUUACCUAUGAUUCAUUUUUAAUGUAUGUUGUUUUUAUUGUACAUCAUUAUUUAUAUAUAUUUAAAUGUCAUGAAAAGCACUAUACAAAGUAAAUGUAUUAUUUAUUAUGGUCUGACAUGU
Molecule: long non-coding RNA, 1159 nt
Organism: Salvelinus fontinalis (brook trout)
Lineage: Eukaryota; Metazoa; Chordata; Actinopteri; Salmoniformes; Salmonidae
Exons: 3
Source: RefSeq, a predicted model, not a curated record